UCCGGGGCUGCACGCGCGCUACAAUGAAGGUAGCAAUGUGCUUGUUGUCCUCGCCCGAAAGGGCUUGGUAAACACCAAUUAUUUUCGUGCUUGGGAUAGGGAAUUGAAAUUAUUUCCCUUGAACGAGGAAUUUCUAGUAAAUGCGAGUCAUAAGCUCGUGUUGAUUACGUCCCUGCCCUUUGUACACACCGCCCGUCGCUACUACCGAUUGGAGGAUUCAGUGAAAAAUAUGGACUGUGUCCGGGACGGUGUAACAACUGCUCUGGUACGUGGGAAGUGUAUUGAACUGAACUCUCUAGAGGAAGUAAAAGUCGUAACAAGGUUUCC
RNAcentral lists this ribosomal RNA (327 nucleotides) under Isomermis wisconsinensis. RNAcentral describes it as "bacterial SSU rRNA". It matches the Rfam family "Eukaryotic small subunit ribosomal RNA", at positions 1480 to 1804 of the family's 1831-position model. The record is from RNAcentral. Lineage: Eukaryota; Metazoa; Nematoda; Enoplea; Mermithida; Mermithidae.